UUAAGUUCAGCGGGUAUUCCUACCUGAUCCGAGGUCAACCUUGAGAAAGAUGGACGGUUGUCCGCUUUACGGCGUGCCGCGCCGCGCUCCAGUGCGAGGUGUGUGCUACUACGCAGAGGUCGCUGCGGCGGGGCCGCCACUGAAUUUCGGGGCCGGCCGCCGGGGGCGGAGGCCGAUCCCCAACACCAAGCCCAGAGGGG
RNAcentral lists this unclassified non-coding RNA (200 nucleotides) under Hypocreales sp. Its description in RNAcentral is "partial internal transcribed spacer 2". The record is from RNAcentral. Lineage: Eukaryota; Fungi; Ascomycota; Sordariomycetes; Hypocreales.